UCCCUAGUGGCUCAGAUGGUAAAGCGUCUGCCUGCAAUGCAGGAGACCCAGGUUCGAUUCCUGGGUCGGGAA
RNAcentral lists this transfer RNA (72 nucleotides) under Bos taurus (domestic cattle). It matches the Rfam family "tRNA". From Rfam's summary of the family: Transfer RNA (tRNA) molecules are approximately 80 nucleotides in length. Their secondary structure includes four short double-helical elements and three loops (D, anti-codon, and T loops). Lineage: Eukaryota; Metazoa; Chordata; Mammalia; Artiodactyla; Bovidae. RNAcentral also lists the same sequence under 3 other names. The record is from Rfam by way of RNAcentral.